This 468-nucleotide ribosomal RNA is filed under the name uncultured bacterium. RNAcentral's name for it is "partial 16S ribosomal RNA". It matches the Rfam family "Bacterial small subunit ribosomal RNA", at positions 28 to 507 of the family's 1533-position model. The record is from RNAcentral.
GACGAACGCUGGCGGCGUGCUUAACACAUGCAAGUCGAACGGAAAGGCCCUGCUUUUGUUGGGUGCUCGAGUGGCGAACGGGUGAGUAACACGUGAGUAACCUGCCCUUGACUUUGGGAUAACUUCAGGAAACUGGGGCUAAUACCGGAUAGGAUCUCCUGCUGCAUGGUGGGGGUUGGAAAGUUUCGGCGGUUGGGGAUGGUCUCGCGGCUUAUCAGCUUGUUGGUGGGGUAGUGGCUUACCAAGGCUUUGACGGGUAGCCGGCCUGAGAGGGUGACCGGCCACAUUGGGACUGAGAUACGGCCCAGAAUCCUACGGGAGGCAGCAGUGGGGAAUAUUGCACAAUGGGCGGAAGCCUGAUGCAGCAACGCCGCGUGCGGGAUGACGGCCUUCGGGUUGUAAACCGCUUUCGCCUGUGACGAAGCGUGAGUGACGGUAAUGGGUAAAGAAGCACCGGCUAACUACGUG